Molecule: ribosomal RNA, 492 nt
Filed under: uncultured bacterium
Lineage: Bacteria
Description: partial 16S ribosomal RNA
Rfam family: Bacterial small subunit ribosomal RNA
Source: RNAcentral
AGUGAACGCUGGCGGUAGGCCUAACACAUGCAAGUCGAACGGCAGCACCGUAAGAGCUUGCUCUUACGGGUGGCGCGUGGCGGACGAGUGAGGAAUACAUCGGAAUCUACUUUUUCGUGGGGGAUAACGUAGGGAAACUUACGCUAAUACCGCAUACGACCUACGGGUGAAAGCAGGGGAUCUUCGGACCUUGCGCGAUUGAAUGAGCCGAUGUCGGAUUAGCUAGUUGGCGGGGUAAAGGCCCACCAAGGCGACGAUCCGUAGCUGGUCUGAGAGGAUGAUCAGCCACACUGGAACUGAGAAACGGUACAGACUCCUACGGGAGGCAGCAGUGGGGACUAUUGGACAAUGGGCGAAAGCCUGAUCCAGCCAUACCGCGUGGGUGAAGAAGGCCUUAGGGUUGUAAAGCCCUGUUGUUGGGAGAGAAAAGCAGCAGGUUAAUACCCCGCGGUACUGACGGUACCCAAAGAAUAAGCACCGGCUAACUUCGUG